This 77-nucleotide transfer RNA is filed under the name Mycoplasmopsis cynos. RNAcentral describes it as "tRNA-Arg". It matches the Rfam family "tRNA". From Rfam's summary of the family: Transfer RNA (tRNA) molecules are approximately 80 nucleotides in length. Their secondary structure includes four short double-helical elements and three loops (D, anti-codon, and T loops). Lineage: Bacteria; Bacillati; Mycoplasmatota; Mycoplasmoidales; Metamycoplasmataceae. The record is from RNAcentral.
GCAUUGUUAGCUCAGUCGGUAGAGCAGCUGAUUUCUUAACCAGCGGGUCGCAGGUUCGAUCCCUGUACAAUGUACCA